RNAcentral lists this ribosomal RNA (253 nucleotides) under uncultured bacterium. RNAcentral describes it as "partial 16S ribosomal RNA". It matches the Rfam family "Bacterial small subunit ribosomal RNA", at positions 524 to 776 of the family's 1533-position model. The record is from RNAcentral.
UACGGAGGGCUCAACCGUUGUUCGGAUUCAUUGGGCGUAAAGGGUGCGUAGGCGGUCGCGUAAGUCAGGUGUGAAAUCUCAGGGCUCAACCCCGAAACUGCACUUGAUACUGCGUGGCUCGGGUACUGGAGAGGAGACUGGAAUUUACGGUGUAGCAGUGAAAUGCGUAGAUAUCGUAAGGAAGACCAGUGGCGAAGGCGAGUCUCUGGACAGUUACCGACGCUGAGGCACGAAGGUCAGGGGAGCAAACGGG